Molecule: ribosomal RNA, 334 nt
Filed under: uncultured bacterium
Lineage: Bacteria
Description: partial 16S ribosomal RNA
Rfam family: Bacterial small subunit ribosomal RNA
Source: RNAcentral
CCUACGGGAGGCAGCAGUAGGGAAUAUUGCUCAAUGGGGGAAACCCUGAAGCAGCAACGCCGCGUGGAGGAUGAAGGUUUUCGGAUUGUAAACUCCUUUUGUUAGAGAAGAUAAUGACGGUAUCUAACGAAUAAGCACCGGCUAACUCCGUGCCAGCAGCCGCGGUAAUACGGAGGGUGCAAGCGUUACUCGGAAUCACUGGGCGUAAAUAGCGCGUAGGCGGGUUGGCAAGUCAGAUGUGAAAUCCUAUGCCUUAACCAUAGAACUGCAUUUGAAACGGUUUUUCAAGAGUAUGGGAGAGGAAGGUGGAAUGUUUGGUGUAGGGGUAAAACCC